RNAcentral lists this ribosomal RNA (498 nucleotides) under uncultured bacterium. RNAcentral describes it as "partial 16S ribosomal RNA". It matches the Rfam family "Bacterial small subunit ribosomal RNA", at positions 28 to 507 of the family's 1533-position model. The record is from RNAcentral.
GACGAACGCUGGCGGCGUGCCUAAUACAUGCAAGUCGAACGAGAGCGCCCGGUGCUUGCCCUGGUCAAUCUAGUGGCGAACGGGUGAGUAACACGUGGGUAACCUGCCCAUCAGAGGGGGAUAACAUCCGGAAACGGAUGCUAAAACCGCAUAGGUCUUCGAACCGCAUGGUUUGAAGAGGAAAAGAGGCGCAAGCUUCUGCUGAUGGAUGGACCCGCGGUGCAUUAGCUAGUUGGUGAGGUAACGGCUCACCAAGGCCGUGAUGCAUAGCCGACCUGAGAGGGUGAUCGGCCACACUGGGACUGAGACACGGCCCAAACUCCUACGGGAGGCAGCAGUAGGGAAUCUUCCGCAAUGGACGCAAGCCUGACGGAGCAACGCCGCGUGAGUGAAGAAGGUGUUCGGAUCGUAAAACUCUGUUGUUAGGGAAGAACAAGUGCUAGAGUAACUGUUAGCGUCUUGACGGUACCUAAUCAGAAAGCCACGGCUAACUACGUG